This 387-nucleotide long non-coding RNA is filed under the name Helianthus annuus (common sunflower). RNAcentral describes it as "hypothetical non coding rna". Lineage: Eukaryota; Viridiplantae; Streptophyta; Magnoliopsida; Asterales; Asteraceae. The record is from RNAcentral.
UGUACGUGAUCAGGGAAGGCUCUAGAGAGCCAAACCCUAGUUCAUCAUAUAUCAACCAAUUGAAGCAUGAAUCGAGGCUCAAAUUCAAGAAGGAACAUGAAUUAACGAUCACCCAAGUUAGGGGAUCAUAAGGAAUCAUGUCAAGAUGGAUGGGAGCUUUGAAGGCUAACGGGCUAAGAGGACUCAAUCAAGUAAGCGAACGAGAAUACGGACGCGCAAGGCUAUACAUGUUUGGAUGUUUCAUCUAGAAGCGUACGCGGUUGAAGAUCGAGUCAAGACACGGAUUGUAUGUGGGUGUAUACGUAGUCACUUAAUUGAGUCAUGUAUGUUAGUUUUUGCAUUAAAUUAUAAAAGAGAUUAAUGUAUUUAAAUGAAAGAAAGAAUAUC